Molecule: long non-coding RNA, 1009 nt
Organism: Daphnia carinata
Lineage: Eukaryota; Metazoa; Arthropoda; Branchiopoda; Diplostraca; Daphniidae
Exons: 2
Source: RefSeq, a predicted model, not a curated record
UCCUAGCAACCUGGUUGCAAUUUGUGUAAUGAAGUCUGUUGUUUGUUUUCGUUAUAACUACUAUACCAUUUACUCGGCUUAGAGCUUAGUGACACCAUUGACACUAAAAGAUAUCCAUCUUAAUUCCUUUUGUUUCACAAUCGUCUAAGAUUUUGAAAUCCUAAACAAAAAUUUGCCUUACACCGCUGCAGAUAAUUAGGAAGGAGUGCAGUAUUAGCGGUAUUAGAGCACAAUAAUGUGUGCUAAGAAAUUUGUUUGCCUAGUACUGGAUGGGAUGACGUAAGUAACACUUGAUUUCGGCAGUAAAAAGGAACUACUUGUAUGAAGGAUAAGUGUUUAAAAAAAAGUUUUGGUUUUGUAAUGAGGAGAAAACAGAAUGGUUCUUUAGGUGUGAGUGUAAUGUAACAGGUGUUAUAGGUAUACUAUACUGUACUUAAUAGGCUUAACUGCACUUUUCCAGGUAGAUUUCCACAAAAUGGCAUACUAAUUGCAGAUAACAUGGUGACAAGAUAGUGAUAUACAAGCAGAAGACUGAUGACCCUGUGGUUUCAGUAUGACUGUGUCUUUCCUAUGAAAAAUUACCUGGCUGCACCUCCCGUUCUGGAGCUCAACUUUCUAAAGGAUUUUGAUCUGGACAAGCUUAGAAAGCUUCUCAGAAUAGAAUCAAAUCUUGGUAGGACAUAUCAAUUGAUAUGGAUGGAAGUUCAGAUAGGGUCUCGCGAUUUAAGGAGGUGAAUCAGCAUUUGGCUUGCGUUAUUGGACCUUGAUUGGAGCCAUUGGUGUCCGGUGGUAGUGCAUAAACAGAUGUCAGUAUAGAUACAAGUUGAUGUACGUAAUGGAGCAAAAGCUAAGAAUUAAAUACUAAUGAACGUUGUAGCAAUUUUUUUAUGGAAUUUGCCUGUUUGUAAGUUGUCUUGCCAGUCGCUUACCAUACUUGCUAAUAGGCAAAUAACAUCUUACUGUAUAUGUACAAUGUAGGAUACGUACACAGUCUACCUUCCUUGUCUAA